Molecule: ribosomal RNA, 426 nt
Filed under: uncultured Gram-positive bacterium
Lineage: Bacteria
Description: bacterial SSU rRNA
Rfam family: Bacterial small subunit ribosomal RNA
Source: RNAcentral
CCUUGACGAAGCCUUUCGGGGUGACGGUAGGGGUAGAAGAAGCACCGGCCAACUACGUCCAGCGGCCGCGGUAAUACGUAGGGUGCGAGCGUUGUCCGGAAUUAUUGGGCGUAAAGAGCUCGUAGGCGGUCUGUCGCGUCGGUCGUGAAGACUUGGGGCUUAACCCUGAGCUUGCGGUCGAUACGGGCAUGACUUGAGUUCGGCAGGGGAGACUGGAAUUCCUGGUGUAGCGGUGAAAUGCGCAGAUAUCAGGAGGAACACCGGUGGCGAAGGCGGGUCUCUGGGCCGAUACUGACGCUGAGGAGCGAAAGCGUGGGGAGCGAACAGGAUUAGAUACCCUGGUAGUCCACGCCGUAAACGGUGGGCGCUAGGUGUGGGGGCCAUUCCACGGUCUCUGUGCCGCAGCUAACGCAUUAAGCGCCCCGC